CCUACGGGAGGCAGCAGUGGGGAAUAUUGGACAAUGGGGGCAACCCUGAUCCAGCCAUGCCGCGUGAGUGAUGAAGGCCUUAGGGUUGUAAAGUUCUUUCACCGGUGAAGAUAAUGACGGUACCCGGUGAAGAAGCCCCGGCUAACUCCGUGCCAGCAGCCGCGGUAAUA
Molecule: ribosomal RNA, 170 nt
Filed under: uncultured bacterium
Lineage: Bacteria
Description: partial 16S ribosomal RNA
Rfam family: Bacterial small subunit ribosomal RNA
Source: RNAcentral